Molecule: ribosomal RNA, 458 nt
Filed under: Anaplasma phagocytophilum
Lineage: Bacteria; Pseudomonadati; Pseudomonadota; Alphaproteobacteria; Rickettsiales; Anaplasmataceae
Description: bacterial SSU rRNA
Rfam family: Bacterial small subunit ribosomal RNA
Source: RNAcentral
UUAUAGCUUGCUAUAAAGAAUAGUUAGUGGCAGACGGGUGAGUAAUGCAUAGGAAUCUACCUAGUAGUAUGGGAUAGCCACUAGAAAUGGUGGGUAAUACUGUAUAAUCCCUGCGGGGGAAAGAUUUAUCGCUAUUAGAUGAGCCUAUGUUAGAUUAGCUAGUUGGUAGGGUAAAGGCCUACCAAGGCGAUGAUCUAUAGCUGGUCUGAGAGGAUGAUCAGCCACACUGGAACUGAGAUACGGUCCAGACUCCUACGGGAGGCAGCAGUGGGGAAUAUUGGACAAUGGGCGCAAGCCUGAUCCAGCUAUGCCGCGUGAGUGAGGAAGGCCUUAGGGUUGUAAAACUCUUUCAGUAGGGAAGAUAAUGACGGUACCUACAGAAGAAGUCCCGGCAAACUCCGUGCCAGCAGCCGCGGUAAUACGGAGGGGGCAAGCGUUGUUCGGAAUUAUUGGGCGUA